Long non-coding RNA from Corticium candelabrum, 1484 nucleotides. RefSeq lists it as uncharacterized. The record is from RefSeq and is a predicted model, not a curated record. Lineage: Eukaryota; Metazoa; Porifera; Homoscleromorpha; Homosclerophorida; Plakinidae. The transcript is spliced from 9 exons.
AUUUUGACAUAAACGAAGUGCUGUCUUUUUGCGCACCUUUGGAGCAGUAACCUGCGCCGUUUAUUGAAAGGGGCCUCAGUUUUUGUGGUCUGCUGAACGUGGUUUUCUCGGCACAAAUCAACUUCAAUAAAUUAGACGACAGCCAAACCGUGACAACAUUAGUAAGGAGAAAGAAGACUCUAUUGGUGAACCAAGACAAAAGAAACAGAGACUAGAGUCCAAACAGGUUCACAAAGACACUGCACAUGUUUCUGAGGACACAGAUUCCUUCAAAAAGGCAAAAGCAGCCUGCAACGUCCACAUGGUACAAGACAAGGAAUCCGGGAGUAUGGGUCACGUGCAAAUUACCAAGUUCUUCGCUUGCGGGACCGGUACCGGCUCUCUAGCCACUUCGAAGAAGAAACGGUAGCUGGGAUCUGCUAGUACUGCCUGACAUCUUGCAAGCAAUGCAGAUAGAAAUUUAGCGGUGUGGGAGAGGUGCUGGUUAUCGGUCUCUCUGGAAGAGAUUAAAUGAUCGUCAUGGGCUAGCAGUACGACGGUUGGUAAAGUUAUUAGUUGUAUGAUUAGUUACACUAAAGUUUGCAUUUGUAUCUCAUUGAGCUGAAUAAAUUGCACCUCGACAUUUCAGUCAUUGAAUAUUAGGAAUAAGCGGGUAUGUAGGAAUACAAUUGUUGAUUGCAGAGUGUGUAAACAGGGAUAUCGUAAUGACAUUACUAUCAAUUAUGGAUCCGGAAGGAGCAAAAUCUAGGAAAGGUCGACGACUGAAGCGCAGAGUUUAUGUAAACAAGGGUCCAAAUUAUGUUUGGCAUACAGAUGGCUAUGACAAGUUUAGUUCUUUUGGAAUUUACAUACACGGUUGUAUUGAUGGGUAUGCUGUCUUAAUUUUGUUUUGCUGUGUCAUCAAUUAGGUCACAUACUGACUUUGGACUGACAUUAAUUUUGUGUGUGCUUAUUUUGUUCUGUACAAAUCCUGUUGAAUAUAAUGUAGGUAUUCCAGAAAGAUCUUGUGGAUGAAGAUUUUUCCCACAAACAAGGAUCCAAGUGUUGUUGCUAAAUAUUAUCUUGAUGUUGUUAGAGAUAUUGGAGGAUGCCCUAGAGUGCUUAGAUCUGAUCAUGGCACUGAGAAUUGUCAUCUAGCUACUGCACAAAUUACUUUUCGCUUCUAUGGUACUAAUGCUUUCCCUGCUGACAGAAGCUUUCGUUAUGGAAAUCUACUACAAACACAAGAAUAGAAGGAUUAUGGUCCCAGCUGCGAACGCAAAUGACUGACAAGUGGAUACUAUUGUUUCAGCAACUGUCGGAAGAAGGUUGGAUAUACUCAAAUGAUAACACAAAAAUGACAUGUUUUGGUUUGUAUUCACUCAAGCUAUGGAGGCAGAGUUAGACUAUUUUACUCAUUGGUGGAAUACGCAUCACAUGUGAAAAACACACACAGCUAGCUGUCCUGGUGGAGUACCAGAAGAUAUUUUUGCUCUUCCUCAGCU